Long non-coding RNA from Amblyraja radiata (thorny skate), 166 nucleotides. RefSeq lists it as uncharacterized. The transcript has 3 exons. Lineage: Eukaryota; Metazoa; Chordata; Chondrichthyes; Rajiformes; Rajidae. The record is from RefSeq and is a predicted model, not a curated record.
AGGAAUCUGAGGGUAAUGGUGGAAGGUUGCUUUUCGGACUGGAGGCCUGUGACUAGUGGUGUGCCUCAGGGUUCGGUGCUGGGCCCCAUUGGUGUUCGUCAUCUAUAUCAAUUAUUUGGACUACAAUGUACAUGGCAUGAUUAGCAAGUCUGCAGAUGACACAAAA